AAUCUUCCACAAUGGGCGAAAGCCUGAUGUAGCAACGACGCGGGAGUGAAGAAGGUUUUCGGAUCGUAAAACUCUGUUGUAAGGGAAGAACAAGUACAGUAGUAACUGGCUGUACCUUGACGGUACCUUAUUAGAAAGCCGCGUCUAACUACGUUCCAGCAGCCGCGGUAAUACGUAGGUGGCAAGCUUUGUCCGGAAUUAUUGGGCGUAAAGCGCGCGCAGGCUGUCCUUUAAGUCUGAUGUGAAAGCCCACGGCUCAACCGUGGAGGGUCAUUGGAAGCUGGGGGACUUGAGUGCAGAAGAGGAAAGUGGAAUUCCAAGUGUAGCGGUGAAAUGCGUAGAGAUUUGGAGGAACGACAGUGGCGAAGGCGACUUUCUGGUCUGUAACUGACGCUGAGGCGCGAAAGCGUGGGGAGCAAACAGG
RNAcentral lists this ribosomal RNA (424 nucleotides) under uncultured bacterium. RNAcentral describes it as "partial 16S ribosomal RNA". It matches the Rfam family "Bacterial small subunit ribosomal RNA", at positions 360 to 776 of the family's 1533-position model. The record is from RNAcentral.